ACUUUGUCGUUCGUCGUUAAUUCGAUGGAUGUUUAAGUAUCGCACUUUGUCGUUCAUUGUGAGAAUUUGAUCUCGUGAGUUCAUCGUAAAUGCUGUAUUAGUUAAUUACCUAGUUUCGUGUGCAUUAUUAUUUAAAUUAGGUUAUCAGGCUUAUCCAUAGGAUAAACACUACCCCAUACACUUACAAUCAAAAUAGAUACCAGUUCUCAGAAGAAUCUGAAUCAUGAAGCUUGUUAAUUCAAUACUGCAUGCUUAUAAUCCAGUAUGUGGGGUAUUGUGCACAUUACUACUGUUGUUAUCACUUUAGGUGGGCGAACCUAAAAUUAAGUGAUAUACAUCAUUCAUUGGGGCAGCCAAUGGUGAUAUGACCACAGUCACAGAUCCGGUCGAGUGACAAAUACUGUGGGUAGUUGGUAGAUAUCAGAAACAUAUGUAAUUACAGUAGAUUGGAGUAAGGAUUGGAUCCGGCACUAAAAGACUUCAAGAAGUGGCUUAUUUUAUUAAUUAAAUCAAAUUAAGAAAUAUUGUUUUUAUUAAAAGCUACCUUUGUAACAAUGGAAUUUAUUCCAUCUAUUUAAAUAAAAUCCGGUGUUUCUAAACUCUGAUAUUUUUCCUAACUCACGGUCCUGAUAAAAUUUCCGCUGCAAUAUUUUUCAAAAUAACUCACCGGUACCACUGGACUGCUCGCGGCUCCCGAUUCCGUCCAGGAUGGGGUCAGGGGUCGUGACAGAAGCAAAUAAGCUAAGUCUUCUAGAAAAUGUACGCCCACUAAGUACUCGACUCUACAUGGUCCUCCUAUUCCAACCGUGCCAUAAUUUCUGAAAUGCAACCUGAGAAAGAAACAUGCGAAAAAUCAACAUAAAGUUGAGUGAGUUCAUAGUUCGUUUGUAAAAGAUUUGAAAUAAAUCUUUUUGAAUAACCGGUUUUUGUUGUAUUGUUGAGAAAACGAAUUUAAAAUCAUUUUCUUGUCAAAUUAUAUGGAAACUUGGUAUGAAAACAUGGUAUGUAUCUUGUAUAAAUCAUGUAUUCUUAUAUAAAUCAUAUAUUUCUGUA
This 1053-nucleotide long non-coding RNA is filed under the name Helianthus annuus (common sunflower). RNAcentral's name for it is "sRNA HanXRQr2_Chr17g0809601". The record is from RNAcentral. Lineage: Eukaryota; Viridiplantae; Streptophyta; Magnoliopsida; Asterales; Asteraceae.